This is a long non-coding RNA of Centrocercus urophasianus (Greater sage-grouse), 8935 nucleotides long. RefSeq lists it as uncharacterized. The transcript is spliced from 3 exons. The record is from RefSeq and is a predicted model, not a curated record. Lineage: Eukaryota; Metazoa; Chordata; Aves; Galliformes; Phasianidae.
GAGUGCUGGGGGGGGGAGUGGGGAUGAGCCCAGCAGCUUGGGAGAGCAGGGAGAUGCGAAGGGUACCGAGAACACCCUAAGAACUGAUGUGUGGGAUCACGGAAUCGCGAAGGCAGGAAAAGAGCUCUCGGAUCAUCUCGUCCGAUCGCCGGCUCUGCACCCCCGUCUCACAGCGCGUCCCUCAGCGCCGCGCCAACGCGGUUCUCAGCCGCUUCCAGAGACGGCGAUUGCACCGCCUGCCCGGGCGGCUGUGCCACUGCGUCACCGCUGGGAGAAGAGAUUUUUCCCAGUAUCCAACCUAAAAAUAAGUUGGAACGUUAGUUCUUCGUGGCAAGCGCUGGGAUUGAACGGCCGCGGAGAUGGUGGAGGGCCUGGAGCACCUCUCCUGUGAGGAGCAGCUGAAAGAACAGUGCGUUCUCAGCCCGGGUUACUCAGGCUCAGGGAUCACUGAAGAGAGGCCAUGCAGAGGACGGAGACAGGCUCUGCCCAGCACCAGGACCAGCGGCCGUGGGCACAAGGCAGAGCACAGAGCUCCCUCUGAGUGCCAGAUUUUAUUGCCCACGCCCACUUGUGAGCACGCCAUCUCUCGGACAGAGGCUGCCAGGUAGCCUUAUACUGACGGCAUUUUCCAGUCCCGGGGAAAACCUCCACCCUCACAAGCUCAGAUCCUGAUCAGUCUCAAGGUAGAGCCUGCCAAGGGGUUGCCUCCCUUUGUUUCCAGCAUCAAGACUUUGUGAGGUAUAGUGAGCCCACACGGCGUUACACGAUGCGUGGCUGCCUAUAUAAGGGUGGGGAGGCCAUGAAUACCUCCCUGCGCAACAGUCAUAAACACGGAAAGGGUGUGAACAGGGAAGGGCAGAGACUGCAGCCAUGAGAUCAUGCUUUUACUUUGGAACCCCGGUGACCUUUAGAUGAUGUUGCUUUACACAUGCAACCACCGAUAUUUUGCAUUCCUAAACCGCCCACCAACACAGCUCAGAAAUUUCACUUUGUUUCAGAGUAAAUUGCCGGAACUUCAAACAUACAGGUGGUUUGCUUUUUUUCUCGUGGAUUUUUUAGUCAGUAUUCAUCUGAUAACUUUGCUUUCGUUAUUACAAUUGUCAUAAGCAGUACUGACUUGUCUCCUUAUUACCUUGUGACCAGUUAAGUAUUAUUUCCCAAUUUAGAGAUGAAGAAGCCUCAUAGUCAGUAGUUAGCAGCACAGGGAGCAUAAUCUGCAUAUUCUGACUCAGAGUCCUGUGCUUUAAACAGCAGAUCAUACUUCCCUCUUCAACAAAUUCAUGAUAGCAUCUAAAGGAACUGCUUAAAAACAGCUUUCCCCUGAAAUGUUUAAGGUAAUGCAGCAUAAACAAGUUGGCUGUCUGUAAGCACAACCAAGGUCACUGAUACAUUUAAUUUUGGUGUAGACAGAUGAUUAGAUGUCCCCAGUUUUCCUCUCUUUCCUAAACAGCUAUUAUGUAUAUAUAGAACAUGGCAGUUUUGCAAAAGAGUUUCUAAAAGGCAGAUUUGAUUUCAGUAUGCUAUUGGUGUUUCUGCAUGCUUCAUAUGUUUUGUCUAGUAUUUUUGGACGUAAAAGUUUUCACUGAAAACUGAUAUUCUAUUAUAAAUUUGCUUUCUGUUAAAAAAAUCUGUAUACAUAUCUUUCACUAAGGCAAGAUUUUAUUCUUAGACUUUCAUUGUGACCCUUUAUCCAUAGUGUAGGUGUUGCCUUGUAGCAAAAGCCCUAACUGGCAGGCAAGGUGCUCUAUGAGAGUGAAAAAUCAGCACAAAGAAGUGAUAAGGCACCUCAUUGUUCAGUUCAUUAAAUCUGAUGGUCAUCCAGCAUAACACUUCAUUUAAUCAUUCAUAUUCAAUGCCAUUUUGACACUCCUGACACAAACUUCUGGGGACAGGAAGUAAUUCCAAAUCUUUUAUCACCACUACCUUUUGACAUGAGUUUCAGGAGUCAUGGCCUCAGUUUCCAAAACUGGGGAAUGCAAAAAACAAAUUGUAAGUCAGAAACAGCUCUGACUGAACUAAAUAACACGUCUAGUCCUACUACCUGUUUAAAAGAAAAUAGAAAAUUCUCCUAGCUAUUCUGAUAUUAAAGUCAUGAAACAUUUGCAAGACAUGGUGACGUACUGGUAAGAGAUCGCUGUUUUAUUUUGUUAAUAUUGCUUGGGAAACUGGUUCUUCCUCACUCCCCAUCUGGAAGACCAGAGGGACACCAAGGAGGCCAGAACAGAGCUAUUUAGGAUCACACGGGAAAGGGAAGCAAGGUCCAGGUGAGGAGUAAUCCCCUUUAAAUACAAUUUUCUUUGUGUCUGGGCUCAAGUUUAAACACCCAUGGCUCUGUGAAGGACCAGAGCAAGUGCUGGUCAGUGACAUCUGCUCUGGCUGCUCCAAGCAGCCAGGCCAUUAAAAAGGUGGUAAAAUUCUCUUCUGUGCAAAAGUGUUUUCAAGAGUUUUAACACAUUGUUUUUAAUGUUCAUGCAAUUCAUAUCUCUGUGGUUUUAGAAGAUUUACAAAGCAGAACAGCUUGUAGAAGACAGCAGCAACACUCAGUAAUAAAUAAUUGAGAAGCGAUUAAAACAUCUCUUCCAAAAGCUGAAGGUCAGGAUUAGGGCAAGGUGCAUCAAUACAAGCAUUUAAAAUUCUCCUUACAACAUAUUGAAUAAAACUGCUUUCAAUUUCCUUAGACUCCCAUAGACUUCUAUAUUGCAUACUAAGGUGCAGUCACAUUCUGGCCCUGGAAAUGUACUUUCUGCUUAAAAUGAUGCAGUGCUUCUAUAGGAAAUUUUGCUGAUGGAAUGCUAUUGCUUGCGGGGCAGCUAUGCAUAAGAAGAGAUUAACAUAAUGAGGAAUAUUGUCACUGUUUGAUCCCAGGCACACACAGCCCUUUACUGAAUCCAAUGCUGCAUAUAUAAUCUUCUGAACAACCCAUGUGUGAAUAUUUUACUCUGAUUUUGGCAUGAAAACUUUGCAGCCAACACAUUUCGGUGCAAACUUUAUGAUGUGUGUUUUGAAAAAUGUUCAGAGCUUUUCUCUGAAAGUUUGUUGAAAGAAAGAAAAAGACUUGUUCUGCCUUUGUUCAGUGUUGAACUGCUGCUUAAUACAUCGUUAGUUCUGCUUUGCAUAUAUGAAUUAUGUAUUUUAAAAUAAUUCUUACCCCUAGGAAUGGAAAACAAAAUACCUGUCAUACUGCACAGAAAGUAGAUGAAAAAUCAAACAUCUGCUUUUUGAACAAAAUUUCGUCUUACACAGCACUUAUUCUUGCUAUGAACCUUCCCUUGAACUGUCAUAGGGUUUCAGAAGCUCCCAGCAGGAGAUGGAUAGCACUCUAAUGUUAUCACAUCUUUAAUUAGAUUAGAAGUUAGAAGAAUAAAGUAUUAAUAACCUUGAAACAUAAGUUUUUCUAAUAUAUUCUUCCCCUAACUAUAUGGUAGUUUUACUGUUUGCAAUUUAAAGUAAGAAACAACCAAAACUUAAGUAUGCAUUUCUUUAUUCAUGACAGGAAAGAGUUUCUAAUUUUGCAAAUUGCUCUCACAAGCUUGGCUAAUUAAGCUGAUCCUUCAAAUCUGAAAGCCAAAGUGUUUUCACAUCAAAGAGUGCAAACAUGUCAGUGAUGGGAAGUAACAAAACAGAAGAAAGAUAGUUGGGUAACAUUGAAUCUCUUAAUCGUUGUUAUACAGGGUAUACAUAAAGCAGCAACUUUGUUUUAUUCACUGUAAGACAUUGCUUGCUUUAUUUAAAGCAUUGAAUUUCACAUUUUAUAAAGAACUUGCUCUGAAUAUGCCAUCAAUUCCAUUAAAAAAUGUUUGCAUCAAAGGACAGAGUAGCCGUCAAAGAAGUAGAAAUUCGUAUUUUCCUUUGUUGGUAUUUUAUGCUCUGUAAUUAAAUUGUAUAUUGUUUUUGCCUGUAUAUUUAAUGCAAGAAAAUGUUCUUUUCCUGUUUAUUACAUUACAACUACAAAGUUUGACUAGAAAGCUCCAUGUGUAGUUGGAAGACUGGGAGUUUUACUGGACAUGAAGGUAUGAAAGAAAUUAAAUUUCCUUAAUUGAGGAAGAUUCUUUACAAGUCAUCUUUGACUUAGCAUUUAUUUUAGUAGUAUUUUCUAUUUGGGGUAUUUGUUAUCCUGAAACAUGAUAUAUUCAAAUAGAAAUCAUUUCACAGAGCUUGAAAUAGGUCUGAAAUGGAUGUGGUCGUUAGACAGCAUAAUGUGUGUUAGUAUAGAGAGGUCACAUCUUGCUACAUGGAAAAAGCAGGAUGGUGAAUGAGAUCCCAACAGAAAUACCUUCACUUGGCCAAGUUCACCCAAAAACCCUGCUGAAAUUCAGCUCUGUGGUUCUUUAUGGCAACAGGAAGGUUCACACUGCCAUGCAAUCCUUUCCACAGACAAGGAAGUAUGACAUUUUUGGCAGUAGAGAAGAGCCUGUAGAAAGUCAUAGCCCAAAUACCUGCAGCUCUAUCACUGCACAAAGCAGCCUUGUGUAAUGAGCCUACAUGAUAUGUCCAAAAGUGGACGUACUGGAGCAUGCUCCUAUGGAUCCAUCCUCUGGAUCCCCACCCGGGCACAUUGCCCUUGGCACAGCAUGGUUGAAGUCUGUUAAGCAGAGAGAAGCUCAGAGAGGGAAGUGUCUGCCAUGAUGGGCCAGACAGAGCAGGCCCACGCUGCUGGAGCAGUAUUCAAAUGUGCCAGCAGGGACUGACGCCUAAUUUCACGUCUCAGGGGAUGGCAAAGAUGCAAGGAGGAGUGAAAGAAUCUGCUUUUAGAGCUGUAAAAAUCCAGAUUCCUCCUUUUAAUGUGGGGUUUGAAGGAACUGCUCCCAGGAAGGCACCGUGGAAAGAACAACUGCAGGCCUUAUUUGAUGAAAACAACUCCAAAACAGCUUGAGACCUUGCAAACUGGAAGGGCCAAAUCAAAUACAGAAGCCCCUGAGAGCAUGGUUGUUCCAUGGUCCAUGCAGAAAGGGGGUUGUGCCUUUUCCCAGUUCAAGACAUCUUAGCACCCACACUGACAGCGUUACAAGGAGCCACCACUAAUAACAACACAGGAAAUGCACUUCUGAAAGCAGCAAAGAUUCUUGUAUCUCACUUUUAAACUUGCCCGUAAUGUCAGGCUUUUAUCUUACACAUUCCAAAUGUUAUGAAUCAGAACAAAGUUUCUCUGUUAUGUAGUGUUACAAAAGCCAGUUUUUUUGCAAAGUUUUGUCCGACCACAAAAAUCCAGGGCUAAAGAAAUGGCAACAGGAUUUACCAACAGUGCUGCCAGAGGAUUCCUUCUAAAAAUGCUUGCUUUGCAAUUUUCAAAGGAGAAAUGAUGCACGAACUGAGACUUGCGCAGACUUCAAAAUGCAAGAUGCAAAAUAUGUGGUUUCAUCUAUUUCAUCAUUCUCCUACUGGCCGUGUGUGGACAUUUGUGGUACAAGCAGGCAAUGGGAUGCAGCAUCAGCAGUGCACUCCAAUUGCACAGGAGGAGGAAAAGGAGGAUGGUUUGAUCAAGGGCAUUGUUACAGAUCAGCUCUCUGCUUUAUGACCACUGACAUGUGAAAUAAAAUGCAGUGACCAGAAGAUGUCUGAAGCAAAGUCAGAUUUUAUUGUGUAAUGGACUUCCAUCAGUGUGGGAUUAAAACAAGACUCAUAAAACCAACUGCUAUUUAGUGGUUAUGGAAAGAAAGUAAAUCUGCAAUUAAAUUAUAACGGGGUAUUUAUUGAGUAAAGGCAGUUCAACUUAAUUAAUUAAAGCUGGAAAAUAUUUAAACUAUCAGGAACAGAUUUCUAUUGAAACCAUAUGAUGAGCUUUGGCUUGAUUACUCUCAGACAACUCACUGCUGCAUAACUCUUCAGGCAAAACACCUGCUGAGAGCCGUAUGCUGGUAAAGAGAGAUUGCAGACACAUUUUGAAGUCGAUGAAGACAGUCCGGAUUCAAGCAAAGAUUACAUAACCACCAUGUAGUUCUGUGCAAUGCUGUCUGUGCUGUGUUUCAGUGGGGAGUGCUUCUUCAUGGAAAAAUAUAGUUUGGAUUCAAUAUUUGUUUAUGUGGGCUACCAGAAGCAAUUAUGGCUCAGAAAAACCUUUUCAUGAUAAUGGUAUUCUUGGAUCUUCCUGCACUGAGCAUAUCUUGACAAGGAAGUUAGGGAGUCUUUCUGCAACUCUAUUUUGUGGUACAGCUGCAGCAUACUGUCAUAUCAUGCACUGCCAAAAGCCCCAACUCUCCACUGCCCACUGUUCCUGCAUAGCCAAGGCACUGGGAGAGCAACCCCAUGAAGCCAGCAGUGCAUCCUCCUGGCAGUGCCCAGCAGCACACAUGGUCGGAGGGCCUGGGCUGCUCUGUUCUCAAGAGCAUCGCUGCUAGGACAACGUACAGCCAACAGGACUGUGCUGCAGCCUGCACCAUCUGUGCAUGCCUUCAUCUGUGAUGUACUUCUUCAGAAAUUCUGCCACAUAGGUGGGAUGUUUAGCUUUUGUUGGCUGUGCUCACCACACCAUCUGCAAGACACAAGGGAGCACCUCAGUACCACAUGCCAGCGCUGGAAGAUCCAAGAUCUUGAUGAUCCACUGGAUCCAGAAUCUGUCUUCUGCCUACAGUGACAAGUAAAAGGCCAUGUUGGUGGCAGGCAAGCACAACCACCACAUCUACACCUACACUUUAGCUUUGGCUUUUACCCACAGUUGUCUGUUAGCUGUUGCAUUUUAAAGAAUCUGCAGGAUACUCUAAAACUGUACAGAGGAAAGCACAAUUUAGGUUUUGAGUGGCUUCUGAAGAACAACAGGGAACAGUAUUAUGGCAACAUUAUUCUCUGGAGUUGACUGCAACAGCCUCUGUUAGGCUACAGCUUAUGAUAGUAAGGACAGCAAAAGUGUUUUGUCUUGAAUAAUAUUGGCUUUGGGAUCUGGCCAGGAAUAUGGUCACAAAACCAUACAAACACUGCAGUGCCUGAGAUGGUGCCUUGGAGAUAGCUUUUGGUUUGCACACUCACAUCUUUAAGUGCAUAUGAAGUUGAACAAAUGCACACUCAAAAGUGCUUUCAGUGCCCCAUUUCUGGUUUCUUUUUCUGACAUGCCGUUAGUGUAUCCCUAUGUAUGGACAUCUCUAUAAUAGUCUAGAAGCUCCCUGCAUUGUGAACAUGGAUAGAAUAACCUCAAACAUGGUGUGGGCAUAGUCAGAGUGUCUGUUUCAUUCUCUGGGCUCAAGUUAACAUUUCUCAAAGCAGCAUCAAGAUAUCAAUGACACUGCAUUGAAAAGGGAAAAUGUUUCCCUUCUCGUCUGUCCCAGGGAAACGCAGAGAGCACAGUUCUUGUGAACCUGCCAGGAGCUCAGGGAAAAGAAAGGAGUGCUACAAAAUGCCAGGAAUGUCAUAGCUUCCCCAAAAGUCUUUUCCAUUAGCAAGAUCUGACUUACUGAAGCGUUUGCUUUUAUAAAAUAGAUAAUCUGGAAACUGUUUCCUUUCAUCUGAUUUGAGACAAGUCAGACUGGGGGAAUAAUAAGUUCUUAUCCUCUGUUUGAAGAAUGUCUUGAUUUUUCUUUCCCAAAAAUACAUAUAACUGGAUGCUAGUUCUGAGAAUGUCAUCAUGCCCUAGGAUUGCUUGAGUAAAUAAGAGGAAUUAUAGCUAUUGCCAAGAUGUUCUUCAUUCCUAUUUUUGGGCAUACUUCUGAAAUUCAUACGUAAGCAGCACUCACUGCAAUCAAGGGAAGUUGUACUUAGGUAAGAACUGAUGCUAAACCUCAUCACAGCAGGAUUUUCUGGAUUUCUGACACUCAGCCCAAGUUUACAGCUCAAGUCUCGAAGCUACUCCUCACCUUUACAUUGGUCCACAGCAAAACCGCAGAAAGGAACAAAAAUGAACUGUGGGUGGAAAAUCAAAUUCUGCGUUGGAAUGUUAGAUGUUGUCAUUCAGGUCCAUCUCAAAUUUAAAUCAGUAGUUCAGAUAGACUGGUUCUACAGCUCCUACCCCUCCUUGGCCACGUAGCUCUGUAACAGAAGUGGGGUAGAAGUUCUCCUACGUGCAGUAGCAGGAACCUCAGAGAUGCUGCAGAGCACAAGGCUGUGUGUGGCACUGUGCUGCCCAGCUGCCCCAUGCCGUAAAUAUUACAGCACUACGACCUAAAAAUGGAGAACAGUUUCAUCACACAAAACAAGCUGUUGGCCACUCGAUUGACAUUAUUUUAGCUUAGGCUUUGCAAUCUUUCUUCUCAAAGGAUUAGGUUGUAGACUGGUAUGUAAACCAGUUUAUAAUCAGCCAAUGUGUUGAAAAGAAGCAUGUAUCUGAGUUAGACGAACUUCAGUUCUGUUCAUAGGUGGUGGCUGGCUAAUCACUGCCAUUUAUAUCCAUCUUUGAUUCUCUGAGAGUGCCUGGCGUGACAUCAGUGAGAAGGAAUAGACUGGGAGGUUCAGGCAUUCGCUGCAAAGGUGGACGUGUGGUGUGCUGAUACAGACAGUGCUGCCUAUCUGAUGGCAUGCCGACAGCUGAUACGCCCUUGCACACAUACUUGUGCUGUGGGCACGUGUUCUGGAAAAUCCAGAGCAUACAGGAUACAUCUGCAGGCAGAAAUGCCCAAAUGCAGAAAUUUUUAUUUCAAUGAGAGUUCAAUUCUAAAUAGGGAGGCUAUUGUGUUCAAAUACUGGCAGUGAAUGUAACAAUGUUUCUGCUGUGAGUCAUGCAAUAUUAUUUUAAAAAUAUAUGUAUAAUUUUUCAUUGACACAGACACUACGGUUACUCAGUUAAAGCAGAUUCAAAAGAGUCCACUUCUGUUAUCGUGGAUCUGUGCGACUGUACUUGGGUACAAAAAAUCUGCAUGGAUUCAACGAAUGCCAAGUAACAGUUAGAAGCUGUUUUAACAGUUCUUUGAAAGUGAUUGUUUUUAAGAUAACUUGCACAUAUAUGUGUACAUAUGGCAAUUUCUCAUUUACAUUCUGACAUUCAAGGCCAGGCUGGAUGGGGCUUUGAGCAACC